This 253-nucleotide ribosomal RNA is filed under the name uncultured bacterium. RNAcentral describes it as "partial 16S ribosomal RNA". It matches the Rfam family "Bacterial small subunit ribosomal RNA", at positions 524 to 776 of the family's 1533-position model. The record is from RNAcentral.
UACGAAGGGGGCUAGCGUUGUUCGGAAUUACUGGGCGUAAAGCGCACGUAGGCGGAUGUUUAAGUUAGGGGUGAAAUCCCAGGGCUCAACCCUGGAACUGCCUCUAAUACCGGGCAUCUAGAGUCCGAGAGAGGUGAGUGGAAUUCCGAGUGUAGAGGUGAAAUUCGUAGAUAUUCGGAGGAACACCGAUGGCGAAGGCAGGUCUCUGGGCCGAUACUGACGCUGAGGAGCGAAAGCGUGGGGAGCGAACAGG